Gopherus flavomarginatus (Mexican gopher tortoise) is the source of this 1723-nucleotide long non-coding RNA. RefSeq lists it as uncharacterized. The transcript has 4 exons. The record is from RefSeq and is a predicted model, not a curated record. NCBI's taxonomy places the organism in Eukaryota, Metazoa, Chordata, Testudines, Testudinidae.
CAGACCUGCCGCCCGCUUCCGGAGCACAAUGUGGAGCCAGGACAGGCAGGGAGGCUGCCUUAGAUGUGCAGCACCAACGACCGGGUGCUGACCAAGAUUGUUUCUGUAUUAGGGUCAAACUUAUGGAUUUGCAAGAGUGCUGUCCAAUCCACUAAAGAGCUGGCCGAGAUCCAUCCUCCAAGUCUUGCCAAGAUCAGUGGAGCUUGGCCAUCGGUGAAAUGUUCAGACACUUGGGGCAGAGGGAUAUGACAAAAUGAAUAAAGAAUGGAAGCAGAUGGACUUUUUAUCUUGCACAGAAUGAAGACAUACUUAAUUCUUUUUUUCCAUGAUAUAAUCCAAUAUUGAUCUAUAGCCAGAGAUUCUGAUGAUAAAUCCAUUCACUGAAUUAUUCAAGGUGUAAAAAUGGUCGAGAUUAAGAUCCACCAUCAUAUCCUCAAACUGUCUGCCUAGGAAGUGUAAAACUGUUCUUGUUCCUGGGUGUAUCAGUUUCCUUUCUCUCCCCCUGAUAUCAUAAUUGUUUUUAAUGUUUUCCCUCAUCAUUCUAUGAAAAAACAUCAUCCACAAAGCCAGACACAGUCAGCAUAUGAAUGCCAGAAAUAUACAGGCUGGAUGUGACCUCAAUGAUCAGUUAAACAAGGUCAGAUGGAUGUUGGUAAAUCAGUCAUAUGUGCAAGAGGCUCCUGUGUCUUGCUAGCAGCUGCUAACAGUAACUGCAAUAAUGCUGUCUUAUGCCUGCGUGGUGCUCCCAGAUAGCCAUUUAGCAUUAUAACAACAACUUUGAUCUGAUUAAUGCGGCGGUGCAAUGAUUUCAAUAGAAAGCAGUAGUAGCAUGCCUUGGAGUAUAUUAACCUAACAUUAAGCAGCUACAGGUGGCCUUUUUGUGUUGGAGGGAAAAAAAUGUAGCUUUGUAUUGCUGAAUCCUCUUGGAAUCACAUAUCGGGGGCAGCAUCACCCCUAAGCAUAAAAAUCACAUGCUUCCUACAUUAUUGUGUUUUUGUAUUUGGGGAUCUUCAUCAUUUGGGAACAGAACAUUAAUCAGCCAAGCUUUUUUCCUGUGAAGAUAAUCCAUAUGACACUACAUAGUAAGGUGUUAAAACAGUGAGGCCAGGCCUCCGAGCCAAAUUUUGCUCUUAUUUACAUUGGUGUAAAGCCAGAGUAGCUCCACUGAAGUCAAUGGAUUUUUUCUGGAUUUGCAGUACUGCAAUUGAGGGGGGGAAAUGGCCCGAAGUGCAGAUGGCACAUUAUGCACCACUGUGGCAAAAUUAAAUGUGGAAGGAUUAGAUUUUUAUCAGUAAAUGUUGGUAUACAUCGAUUUCACUGUGCAUAAUCAAACUGAUGAAAAAAUAAUUCCAUCGAUGAUAACCAGAAAUUACAGAUAGGCAUAGUAAGAAAAUUGCUGCUUGAGAACUUAGAGUAUUAUUUCAGGAUGUUUUCUGAGGGGAUGUUGACAGAUUUUUUGUGUUAAUGGUUAUAAUACUUAAAUUUUUUGAAUCUCGAUAUCUACUUUCAUUAAAUAAUUGUCUAAACCUCCAUUCCUUGUCAUCUGACUCCCCUCACCCCCAAUUUCCUGAAACUGUGAAAAUGUGAAUCAAUAAAAUAGAAAAAAAAUGCUUUAAAUAAAUAUCAAUAUUAUCUUCUGAAAUUAUAAAAAAAAUUAAAAUUGAAUUCUGCCAAGCCUAGACACGAUGCAUUUUCUCCUUUGAUUACAGCUGUGCAGGAACCA